This 235-nucleotide ribosomal RNA is filed under the name uncultured Lactobacillus sp. RNAcentral's name for it is "partial 16S ribosomal RNA". It matches the Rfam family "Bacterial small subunit ribosomal RNA", at positions 127 to 356 of the family's 1533-position model. The record is from RNAcentral. Lineage: Bacteria; Bacillati; Bacillota; Bacilli; Lactobacillales; Lactobacillaceae.
UGCCCAAGAGAUCGGGAUAACACCUGGAAACAGAUGCUAAUACCGGAUAACAACAGAUGAUGCCUAUCAACUGUUUAAAAGAUGGUUCUGCUAUCACUCUUGGAUGGACCUGCGGUGCAUUAGCUAGUUGGUAGGGUAACGGCCUACCAAGGCGAUGAUGCAUAGCCGAGUUGAGAUACUGAUCGGCCACAUUGGGACUGAGACACGGCUCAAACUCCUACGGGAGGCAGCAGCG